GUCCCAGACUCCUACGGGAGGCAGCAGUGGGGAAUAUUGGGCAAUGGAGGCAACUCUUACCCAGCAAUGCCGCGUGAAUGAAGAAGGUCUUCGGGUUGUAAACUUCUUUUCUGAGGGACGAAGAAAGUGACGGUACCUCAGGAAUAAGCCACGGCUAACUACGUGCCAGCAGCCGCGGUAAUACGUAGGUGGCAAGCGUUAUCCGGAUUUAUUGGGUGUAAAGGGCGUGUAGGCGGGAAUGCAAGUCAGAUGUGAAAACUAUGGGCUCAACCCAUAGCCUGCAUUUGAAACUGUAUUUCUUGAGUGCUGGAGAGGCAAUCGGAAUUCCGUGUGUAGCGGUGAAAUGCGUAGAUAUACGGAGAAACACCAGUGGCGAAGGCGGAUUGCUGGACAGUAACUGACGCUGAGGCGCGAAAGCGUGGGGAGCAAACAGGAUUAGAUACCCGAGUAUAU
This 453-nucleotide ribosomal RNA is filed under the name uncultured bacterium. RNAcentral's name for it is "bacterial SSU rRNA". It matches the Rfam family "Bacterial small subunit ribosomal RNA", at positions 328 to 794 of the family's 1533-position model. The record is from RNAcentral.